This 484-nucleotide ribosomal RNA is filed under the name uncultured bacterium. Its description in RNAcentral is "partial 16S ribosomal RNA". It matches the Rfam family "Bacterial small subunit ribosomal RNA", at positions 30 to 507 of the family's 1533-position model. The record is from RNAcentral.
AUUGAACGCUGGCGGCAGGCCUAACACAUGCAAGUCGAGCGGAUGAAGGGAGCUUGCUCCUGGAUUCAGCGGCGGACGGGUGAGUAAUGCCUAGGAAUCUGCCUUGUAGUGGGGGAUAACGUCCGGAAACGGGCGCUAAUACCGCAUACGUCCUGAGGUAGAAAGUGGGGGAUCUUUGGACCUCACGCUAUCAGAUGAGCCUAGGUCGGAUUAGCUAGUUGGUGGGGUAAAGGCCUACCAAGGCGACGAUCCGUAACUGGUCUGAGAGGAUGAUCAGUCACACUGGAACUGAGACACGGUCCAGACUCCUACGGGAGGCAGCAGUGGGGAAUAUUGGACAAUGGGCGAAAGCCUGAUCCAGCCAUGCCGCGUGUGUGAAGAAGGUCUUCGGAUUGUAAAGCACUUUAAGUUGGGAGGAAGGGCAGUAAGUUAAUACCUUGCUGUUUUGACGUUACCAACAGAAUAAGCACCGGCUAACUUCGUG